Molecule: ribosomal RNA, 465 nt
Filed under: Vreelandella stevensii
Lineage: Bacteria; Pseudomonadati; Pseudomonadota; Gammaproteobacteria; Oceanospirillales; Halomonadaceae
Description: partial 16S ribosomal RNA
Rfam family: Bacterial small subunit ribosomal RNA
Source: RNAcentral
CCUACGGGGAGCAGCAGUGGGGAAUAUUGGACAAUGGGCGAAAGCCUGAUCCAGCCAUGCCGCGUGUGUGAAGAAGGCCUUCGGGUUGUAAAGCACUUUCAGUGGGGAAGAAAGCCUUGGGGCUAAUACCCUCGAGGAAGGACAUCACCCACAGAAGAAGCACCGGCUAACUCCGUGCCAGCAGCCACGGUAAUACGGAGGGUGCGAGCGUUAAUCGGAAUUACUGGGCGUAAAGCGCGCGUAGGCGGUCUGAUAAGCCGGUUGUGAAAGCCCCGGGCUCAACCUGGGAACGGCAUCCGGAACUGUCAGGCUAGAGUGCAGGAGAGGAAGGUAGAAUUCCCGGUGUAGCGGUGAAAUGCGUAGAGAUCGGGAGGAAUACCAGUGGCGAAGGCGGCCUUCUGGACUGACACUGACGCUGAGGUGCGAAAGCGUGGGUAGCAAACAGGAUUAGAUACCCCGGUAGUC